RNAcentral lists this ribosomal RNA (468 nucleotides) under uncultured bacterium. Its description in RNAcentral is "partial 16S ribosomal RNA". It matches the Rfam family "Bacterial small subunit ribosomal RNA", at positions 28 to 507 of the family's 1533-position model. The record is from RNAcentral.
GACGAACGCUGGCGGCGUGCUUAACACAUGCAAGUUGAACGGUGAUGCUCCAGCUUGCUGGAGUGGAUCAGUGGCGAACGGGUGAGUAACACGUGAGCAACCUGCCCCAGACUCUGGAAUAAGCGCUGGAAACGGCGUCUAAUACUGGAUACGAAACUGGCCCGCAUGGGCAUGGUUUGGAAAGUUUUUCGGUUUGGGAUGGGCUCGCGGCCUAUCAGCUUGUUGGUGAGGUAAUGGCUCACCAAGGCGACGACGGGUAGCCGGCCUGAGAGGGCGACCGGCCACACUGGGACUGAGACACGGCCCAGACUCCUACGGGAGGCAGCAGUGGGGAAUAUUGCACAAUGGGCGAAAGCCUGAUGCAGCGACGCCGCGUGAGGGAUGACGGCCUUCGGGUUGUAAACCUCUUUCAGCAGGGAAGAAGCGAAAGUGACGGUACCUGCAGAAGAAGCACCGGCUAACUACGUG